AUAUAAUCGAAUAUUACGAACUAUCGUUUAAAAUUCAAAGAUCUUGGCGGUGUCUUAUAAAACCAGGGGAACCUGUCUCAUAACUCGAUAACCCACGAUUACCCAACCUUUUUUUGAAAAAUUCAGCUUGUGUACUGCCGUUGUAAGCAUACCUCUAAAAGAACGAGUGUGCCACUAUGAUUAAAUAUAAAUAUUUGAUUCAAAUACAUCAGGUCAAAGUGCAGUAAAUGAAAAGGAGAUGAUGGGUUACAACCUUAAUAAAAGAUAUGAAUUAAAAAAUAAAAAAUUUUGUGAAAGUGGACUUGGAUGUAAUUUAUAAUUAAAAUUUAAAUAAAUAAAUAGUUAUCUAAGACAUGUACACAUCGCCCG
Molecule: ribosomal RNA, 369 nt
Filed under: Diporochaeta sp. Cradle Mt
Lineage: Eukaryota; Metazoa; Annelida; Clitellata; Crassiclitellata; Megascolecidae
Description: partial 12S ribosomal RNA
Source: RNAcentral